RNAcentral lists this long non-coding RNA (2485 nucleotides) under Pogona vitticeps (central bearded dragon). Its description in RNAcentral is "lncRNA (ENSPVIG00000011079.1)". The record is from RNAcentral. Lineage: Eukaryota; Metazoa; Chordata; Lepidosauria; Squamata; Agamidae.
UUGCGUACCGCGCGCACACACACACCCCCCCUCCCUCCCUCCCUCCCUCCCACAAAGCCGGGCGGGCCGUGCGCGUACCUUCCCGCUUGGCCUUUCACUGAAUGCCUGCUUCUGUGUCGGUCACACGAGUGUAACACAAUGUAGCCGUGUGCAGAUUAUCAGGAGUCCUUCAGGAGUUCUUGGCACGCUGUUUGCUGCUGCUGCAGCUCAGAGGAGGAUGAUUCAUCUUCUCCUCCGGGCUGUGACUUGACUUCGAAGGUUUCGCAACACUGGGUGGCUUUAUAACGACAUCAUUGCCGGCUGUGUGUGUGUGCCUCCCAAAAGCUUUCUUUGCAAACUUGCGAGCGAAAGAGCAGCGAGCGGCAAGGGGGGGGGACAAAUCUUAAAACAGCAGCCCCCCCCUCUUUCCUAGGGAAAAACAAUGGCGCUUUACAUCUGCCAGCUCUUCCUCUUAGCUGCCGAUUUAACGCUGGCGUCCGCGAUCUCCUGCGUCCUUUACACGCUCACCUGCCUGUGUAUUGGGACUGUCGUCAGUUUGUUGAUCCUUCUCUGCUCCUUUGGGGUGGCGAAGAACGUGAGGAAAAUGGUGGGCCGAAUGGGGGGUGCGCUCCUCAGCUUGGCUUGGAGGAGCCCCGUUGGAAAGAUGCUUUUGAGGAAAUCUGAACAUCCAGAGUUUGAGGUGCUGGCAGCGCCUCAUGGCCAGGAGGCAAACUGGGACCCAGUUCCGAAGGAGGAAGGCGCAUCCGCCACUAAACUGCCAGGGACUCGGAAGAAAUCACAGAAGCCUCUGGGGCAGAGUCAGCUUCCUCCGAAAGGAACGCCUGGAGUAAUAAAGAAGCCUUCCAUCUUGACGUGGGAAGAGAAGGAAACAUCAAAAGAAUAUGAAGGCAGUAUACCUCGUAAGCAGAAGAACAGUUUCCUGUCACCUGUUUUUUUGCUUGCUCUCCUCUGGGCUCCUGUGGACCUGGUGUGCCCUUGUCUGAAGAAAACAAGGCUGAACGUGUGAUUGACUAAUGAUUGUAACCGGUGUGGAUAUCAUGCGGAGGAACUUCUGUCUUCCUUUUCUCCUCACUUACACAGAAGAGACAUUUCAUGGCUUGCUAAGUAUGAAACGGCUGUGGUUCAAAAUAGGUAUUGGCACAACAAAUGUUGGAGAGAGAAAACGUUGGGUCCCUGUUUUGCAGGACUGAAAUUAGAGGUUUAGGCUUUUGACAGAACUUUUACCAGCCUGACGUGGAUGGAAAGAUCAUCCCGACUGCACUGAGAGACUAAAGUGCAAUUUUCACAUCUGCCGGGUGAGAAGCGUUGUCAAAAUGUUACCUACAGGGAUAAGUGAUGUACGGUGACAGGAAGCAAUGAAGGACACCCUGUGGAAAGGCUAUUGGAAAUUAAGCUCUCAGCUCACACAAAGCUUCAGUUGAGCCAAACACCUGCCUUUUUGCUCUCGUGCUAUAAUUCAGAAUUGUCUCCAUGUCUUUUCCUUCUGGCGAUGACUCAAAUCAGUACAGCAGGGCAUCCAUCUCUCUAGCAGGAAAGCCUUCUGGGAGGGCAUGCUUUUCUACCUGUACAGAUGAAAGACCGCUGAGGACAGCCAGGGUGCAAGUGACACUAAUGAUGGCCAACAUUUCUCCCCCCACUUUUUUUUAAACUGGGCAAGGCAUGUGAGAAACACCACAAGAGAUGCUUGUAUUCUGGACAGAGUAUGCUAUAUUCGGGACUUUUUCUUUAAAAGGUGGAGGCCUGGAAAGGCCUAAAACAGGUCAUAAAGGGGCAAAAAUGAUUAUAUUUGGCAACUUGGGUAGACAGGGACUCUGGGGUUCAUAUUUUCAUUCCUCCCUAAAAUUGGGUAGGCUGUUUUUGGAAGGUCUAAGGAUGUGACUCUCUAAGAUCUGGUGCCCUAGACUCUUAGAAGCUGCCCAUAGGGCUUCUAGUUGUACCGAGCAUCACCUCUAGGCCUUGUUUACUCCAUAGGGUCGCUGUGCAAGACAAAAGAAAGGGGGAGGGCAUCUUGAGACAUGAGCUCAGUCACCCCUGAGGAAAGGCAAGAUAAAAUUUAGCAAAGAUAAUAAUAAGAUGUUUGUAUAAUUCGCUGAAUACAUAUGUGCUGAGAAGUCUAACUAAUCACAGUAUCUUAAAACGUGAACAGUGUAAUAAGAAAUGUGCAUCUUAAGUGAUCCAAGUAGGCAAUGGUCAAGCAACAGGUAAGUGAAGUGGAUGCUCUUCCUAGGAAGAGCUGUUUAAAUUAACAGAAGAUUGGUGGGUUGCUGGGAAAAGUGCUUUUUCCUUAAGGGGGUAUGUGGUAUAUUUUCUUUACUUUUUCUUUAAUGGUAUGAAUCCCAUUUGGGGACAGUGCUGGCAAAUAAGUAGUUAAUGUGAAUUGCUUUGAACAUUUUUCAAGACUAUGUAAUUUUGCUAACGUUUUGUUCUUAUUUUAAAAAUGUAUUUAUUGAAAUAAAAGUGCAUUUUAUUUGUUUGCUAUUUACCA